Molecule: ribosomal RNA, 406 nt
Filed under: uncultured bacterium
Lineage: Bacteria
Description: partial 16S ribosomal RNA
Rfam family: Bacterial small subunit ribosomal RNA
Source: RNAcentral
AUUGAACGCUGGCGGCAGGCCUAACACAUGCAAGUCGAACGAGUGGCGGACGUGUGAGUAAUGUCUGGGAAACUGCCUGAUGGAGGGGGAUAACUACUGGAAACGGUAGCUAAUACCGCAUACCCUCAGAUGUGCCCAGAUGGGAGUAGCUUGUUGGGGGGGGAACGGCUCACCAAGGCGACGAUCCCUAGCUGGUCUGCGAGGAUGACCAGCCACACUGGAACUGAGACACGGUCCAGACGCCUACGGGAGGCAGCAGUGGGGAAUAUUGCACAAUGGGCGCAAGCCUUAUGCAGCCAUGCCGCGUGUAUGAAGAAGGCCUUCGGGUUGUAAAGUACUUUCAGCGGGGAGGCGUUACCCGCAGAAGAAGCACCGGCUAACUCCGUGCCAGCAGCCGCGGUAAUUC